GAUGAACGCUGGCGGCGUGCCUAAUACAUGCAAGUCGAGCGAACAGACGAGAGUGCUUGCACUCUCUGACGUUAGCGGCGGACGGGUGAGUAACACGUGGGUAACCUACCUAUAAGACUGGGAUAACUUCGGGAAACCGGAGCUAAUACCGGAUAAUAUUUAGCUUCGCAUGACGCAAUAGUGAAAGACGGUUCUGCUGUCACUUAUAGAUGGACCCGCGGUGUAUUAGCUAGUUGGUGAGGUAACGGCUCACCAAGGCAACGAUACAUAGCCGACCUGAGAGGGUGAUCGGCCACACUGGGACUGAGACACGGCCCAGACUCCUACGGGAGGCAGCAGUAGGGAAUCUUCCGCAAUGGACGAAAGUCUGACGGAGCAAUGCCGCGUGAGUGAAGAAGGUUUUCGGAUCGUAAAACUCUGUUGUAAGGGAAGAACAAGUACGUUAGUAACUGAACGUACCUUGACGGUACCUUACCAGAAAGCCACGGCUAACUACGU
Molecule: ribosomal RNA, 498 nt
Filed under: uncultured bacterium
Lineage: Bacteria
Description: partial 16S ribosomal RNA
Rfam family: Bacterial small subunit ribosomal RNA
Source: RNAcentral